ACUCCUACGGGAGGCAGCAGUGGGGAAGUAUUGGACAAUGGGACGAAAGGACCUGAUCCAGCCAUGCCGCGUGUGUGAAGAAGGUCUUCGGAUUGUAAAGCACUUUAAGUUGGGAGGAAGGGCAGUUACCUAAUACGUGAUUGUUUUGACGUUACCGACAGAAUAAGCACCGGCUAACUCUGUGCCAGCAGCCGCGGUAAUACAGAGGGGUGCAAGCGUUAAUCGGAAUUACUGGGCGUAAAGCGCGCGUAGGUGGUUAGUUAAGUUGGAUGUGAAAUCCCCGGGGCUCAACCUGGGGGAACUGCAUUCAAAACUGACUGACUAGAGUAUGGUAGAGGGUGGUGGAAGUUUCGUGUGUAGCGGUGAAAUGCGUAGAUAUAGGAAGGAACACCAGUGGCG
Molecule: ribosomal RNA, 399 nt
Filed under: uncultured bacterium
Lineage: Bacteria
Description: bacterial SSU rRNA
Rfam family: Bacterial small subunit ribosomal RNA
Source: RNAcentral